This is a non-coding RNA of Cinara cedri, 992 nucleotides long. Lineage: Eukaryota; Metazoa; Arthropoda; Insecta; Hemiptera; Aphididae. The record is from the annotation of a GenBank genome assembly.
AAAUUAGGGGAUGGAAAUACAAGUUUAAUUUUAGAUACAUAGAUGUUCCUCUUAGAGAAAAGCAGGUUUAAAAUUUAAAAAAAAAUACAAAUAAUUUUAAAAUUGACUAUUAGAAAAAUCUAGAAAAAUCCGUAAGACAUGGUCGGACACUGAUAUAUGUAUAUAUGUAUAUUAGAUUAUAUAUUAUACAAACAUGUGCGUGUGUGUAUUUUUCCCGCUACUUUUGGACGGUUUUAGCGACUCCGCUUGGAGCCUGUAAUUGGAAAUUGGAGUUUUUUGACAUGAUGCAUUGAAGUGAUUAAAAUGAAACAAGGAAAGAUAACAUUUUGAAUGUGUGCAGUUCAAGUAUCAAUAGGAUAUGCCUCUUGGGGGUUUCAACGUUCAACCUCCCCCCCCCCAACAGUUUUUACAUGCUCAAAUGUUAUGUUUUCACGAGAAACGCCGUGUUUUAAAUAUCCCUAUAGACUCAUAAAAAAAAAAAAAAAUUAAAAUGAAUAUUUUAACGGCAACAAGUCAGUUUGGGGAAAAUUCGACUUUAGUGACGGAAUUCUGCUGAUUUUAUGUAUGACGGUGGUUAAAAAGUUUGUCGGUUUGGCUUGAGUUUUUUUUUUUUUUUAGUUGUUAAGCGUAUUAUACGAUGAGUACUAUUUAUUCAUUUCUUUUUUCUGUCUGUGAACAACUUUUUCACUUAAAAUCUUCGUUCAACUGUCAUACAUCAGGGAUAGUUUUUGGUAAAGAAAAUAUUACCCGUAUAGUCGGCGCAUCGGGAAGAUCAUUUUUCAAUUUUCCUUGAAGGUUUUUCAUAAUAACGGGGAAAACACACGUAGUCGGGCAAACGAGAAUAUUUACCCAAUAACGGCGAGAGUGUUAAUUUCGAUUUUGUUUCCUUUCGUUGUAAUUCCGUAAAAAAUAACCGUAAAGACGUGUAGUUUUCGCCGAACACUGAUAAAUUGUGUAAAUGUUUCACAUAUUAUUCUGUAUAAUGGUACACA